This 776-nucleotide long non-coding RNA is filed under the name Phasianus colchicus (ring-necked pheasant). RNAcentral's name for it is "lncRNA (ENSPCLG00000008030.1)". Lineage: Eukaryota; Metazoa; Chordata; Aves; Galliformes; Phasianidae. The record is from RNAcentral.
AAAAUAUUAGAUUGCACAUUUCUCUCUUAGAGUAUUUUCUAUAACAUUAAGAAACAAUGUCAGGUAUCUCAGAAGAAAUAAAAUGUUGCAAUUUCUGGGUGCGGAGAAUGUAUAUCAGCUUCUCUAGCAUUGCAAACACAUGUGCGCAGUAAUGAAGACUAGCAAUGUCUUUGAGGUUGAGACUCAGUUCUGAAUAGAGAGAUCUACAGUGUAUCAUCAACCUGUCCAGAUAUUAUGAUGUUAGCAUAUUUCAUUAACUCAGUUUGUGGUUUUUUUGUUUGUUUAUUUGUUGCCUGGUAUUGAGAUAAAUUGAAACAAAUUUGGGUACAAGAAAAGCAAUGUCAUUAGGCCUGGAACACUAAGUUGGAAAGAGAAAUGAGUAGAACCUCACCUUGCACUUUGUAAACCUGACACGUAGUUCUGUUAGACUAGGCAUUUAGUUGCCAAAAGUAUGGUGACUACGUCUCUGCAGCAGUGUAGCUCCAGUCCCAAAGAUUGGACAGACAAAAAUGGAGAUAAGGAUGUAGAGUAGAUACCAUUCAAGAUUGUGGCAGCUGAAUGGGUAUUUCUAAUUUAUGAUUUCAAAUGCAUGCCCUGAGUUCUUUACUGAAUCUUGCCGUUAAUCAUUUCUAAACAAUUGACAAGAAUACAUCUUUUUCCAGUCUAGUCUGCCACGGGCCUUAUGUGGCCUCUCUUCAGACAUUGGAUAUUAUGCUUUAAAAAAUUACAUUAUUUUUCUAAUGAAUUGUUCUGUAUUACCAUUUGUAAAUGAAAAA